Molecule: microRNA precursor, 61 nt
Filed under: Pristionchus pacificus
Lineage: Eukaryota; Metazoa; Nematoda; Chromadorea; Rhabditida; Neodiplogasteridae
Description: mir-8364 microRNA precursor family
Rfam family: mir-8364 microRNA precursor family
Source: Rfam by way of RNAcentral
UCUUCAUUCCUCGUACUCUCUCGUCGAUCAGAGUGGCGAGAGAUCAUGCGAAAUGAAGAGA